GUGCCAGCCGCCGCGGUAAUACGGGGGGUGCAAGCGUUGUUCGGAAUUAUUGGGCGUAAAGAGCGUGUAGGCGGCCUGAUGUGUCAGAUGUGAAAGCCCUGGGCUUAACCCAGGAAGUGCAUUUGAAACUGUCAGGCUUGAGUAGGGGAGAGGGAAGUGGAAUUCCUGGUGUAGAGGUGAAAUUCGUAGAUAUCAGGAGGAACACCGGUGGCGAAGGCGACUUCCUGGCCCUAUACUGACGCUGAGACGCGAGAGCGUGGGUAGCAAACAGGAUUAGAUACCCUUGUAGUCC
RNAcentral lists this ribosomal RNA (292 nucleotides) under uncultured bacterium. RNAcentral describes it as "partial 16S ribosomal RNA". It matches the Rfam family "Bacterial small subunit ribosomal RNA", at positions 505 to 796 of the family's 1533-position model. The record is from RNAcentral.